UGAGGAAUAUUGGUCAAUGGACGAGAGUCUGAACCAGCCAAGUAGCGUGAAGGAUGACUGCCCUAUGGGUUGUAAACUUCUUUUAUAUGGGAAUAAAGUUCAGUAUGUAUACUGUUUUGUAUGUACCAUAUGAAUAAGGAUCGGCUAACUCCGUGCCAGCAGCCGCGGUAAUACGGAGGAUCCGAGCGUUAUCCGGAUUUAUUGGGUUUAAACGGGAGCGUAGGCGGAAGCUUAAGUCAGUUGUGAAAGUUUGCGGCUUAACCGUAAAUUGCAGUUGAUACUGGGUUUCUUGAGUGCAGCAGAGGUAGGCGGAAUUCGUGGUGUAGCGGUGAAAUGCUUAGAUAUCAUGAAGAACUCCGAUCGCGAAGGCAAGUGCCCGGGGAUGCAACUGACGCUGAGGCUCGAAGGUGCGGGGGUAUCGAACAGGAUUAGAUACC
Molecule: ribosomal RNA, 437 nt
Filed under: uncultured bacterium
Lineage: Bacteria
Description: bacterial SSU rRNA
Rfam family: Bacterial small subunit ribosomal RNA
Source: RNAcentral